Molecule: long non-coding RNA, 368 nt
Filed under: Homo sapiens (human)
Lineage: Eukaryota; Metazoa; Chordata; Mammalia; Primates; Hominidae
Description: non-protein coding lnc-NAIF1-1:1
Source: RNAcentral
CAGAAAGCAGAGUGGGAAGGACUUAAGGCUGACUGGGGACAUGGGAACCAAGGCCAGUACAGGGAAGAGGCCACCGCCAGGAGGCUGUGGCUGCAAUUGCUCUGAAAGAGGCGGGUGCGCAAGUUGGAGACUGCUGAGCUGUCCCCUUACCUUAGUCCAUGAAGACAACAGGCUACAGUGAAAGUAACAGUGAAGCCUGUAAUUGCUUACUAUGCUGGCGUAACCAAGAGGAGAAAACGCCACUCCCCUUAUGUUCCAUUUUUUUCCCCACAGGACAGCACCAGGUUCCAACCCAGGAUAUCACAUUGCAUUUUGUCAUCUCGCCUUGAUUUCUUCUGGUCUAUGACAGUUUCUGUCUUUCCCCAGAU